GACAGAGGAUGCAAACGUUGCUCGGAUUUACUGGGCGUAAAGCGCGCGCAGGCGGUCCUGUAAGUCGAGUGUGAAAUCCCGGGGCUCAACCUCGGACGUGCACUCGAUACUGCGGGACUGGGGUACUGGAGAGGAGAGCGGAAUUCCCGGUGUAGAGGUGAAAUUCGUAGAUAUCGGGAGGAACACCAGUGGCGAAGGCGGCUCUCUGGACAGAUACUGACGCUGAGGCGCGAAAGCGUGGGAAGCAAACAGG
This 253-nucleotide ribosomal RNA is filed under the name uncultured bacterium. Its description in RNAcentral is "partial 16S ribosomal RNA". It matches the Rfam family "Bacterial small subunit ribosomal RNA", at positions 524 to 776 of the family's 1533-position model. The record is from RNAcentral.